RNAcentral lists this ribosomal RNA (2903 nucleotides) under Acinetobacter baumannii ATCC 19606 = CIP 70.34 = JCM 6841. RNAcentral describes it as "23S ribosomal RNA from Acinetobacter baumannii ATCC 19606 = CIP 70.34 = JCM 6841 (PDB 6YHS, chain 1)". It matches the Rfam family "Bacterial large subunit ribosomal RNA". RNAcentral also lists the same sequence under 1 other name. The record is from RNAcentral. Lineage: Bacteria; Pseudomonadati; Pseudomonadota; Gammaproteobacteria; Moraxellales; Moraxellaceae.
AGUCAAGUAAUUAAGUGCAUGUGGUGGAUGCCUUGGCAGUCAGAGGCGAUGAAAGACGUGAUAGCCUGCGAAAAGCUCCGGGGAGGCGGCAAAUAUCCUUUGAUCCGGAGAUGUCUGAAUGGGGGAACCCACCUACUUUAAGGUAGGUAUUGCAACAUGAAUACAUAGUGUUGCAAGGCGAACGAGGGGAAGUGAAACAUCUCAGUACCCUUAGGAAAAGAAAUCAAUUGAGAUUCCCUCAGUAGCGGCGAGCGAACGGGGAUCAGCCCAUUAAGUUAUGUGUGUUUUAGUGGAACGCUCUGGGAAGUGCGAACGUAGAGGGUGAUAUUCCCGUACACGAAAGGGCACACAUAAUGAUGACGAGUAGGGCGAGGCACGUGAAACCUUGUCUGAAUAUGGGGGGACCAUCCUCCAAGGCUAAAUACUCCUGACUGACCGAUAGUGAACCAGUACCGUGAGGGAAAGGCGAAAAGAACCCCUGUGAGGGGAGUGAAAUAGAUCCUGAAACCGCAUGCAUACAAGCAGUGGGAGCACCUUUGUGGUGUGACUGCGUACCUUUUGUAUAAUGGGUCAGCGACUUAUAUUCAGUAGCGAGGUUAACCGUAUAGGGGAGCCGUAGAGAAAUCGAGUCUUAAUAGGGCGUUUAGUUGCUGGGUAUAGACCCGAAACCAGGCGAUCUAUCCAUGAGCAGGUUGAAGGUUGGGUAACACUAACUGGAGGACCGAACCCACUGUCGUUGAAAAGCCAGGGGAUGACUUGUGGAUAGGGGUGAAAGGCUAAUCAAGCCUGGUGAUAGCUGGUUCUCCCCGAAAGCUAUUUAGGUAGCGCCUCGGACGAAUACCAUAGGGGGUAGAGCACUGUUUCGGCUAGGGGGUCAUCCCGACUUACCAAACCGAUGCAAACUCCGAAUACCUAUGAGUACUAUCCGGGAGACAGACUGCGGGUGCUAACGUCCGUAGUCAAGAGGAAAACAAUCCAGACCGCCAGCUAAGGCCCCAAAAUCAUAGUUAAGUGGGAAACGAUGUGGGAAGGCAUAGACAGCUAGGAGGUUGGCUUAGAAGCAGCCACCCUUUAAAGAAAGCGUAAUAGCUCACUAGUCGAGUCGGCCUGCGCGGAAGAUGUAACGGGGCUAAAACUAUGUGCCGAAGCUGCGGAUGUAUACUUUGUAUACGUGGUAGGGGAGCGUUCUGUAAGCCGAUGAAGGUGUGUUGAGAAGCAUGCUGGAGGUAUCAGAAGUGCGAAUGCUGACGUGAGUAACGACAAAACGGGUGAAAAACCCGUUCGCCGAAAGACCAAGGGUUCCAGUCCAACGUUAAUCGGGGCUGGGUGAGUCGACCCCUAAGGCGAGGCCGAAAGGCGUAGUCGAUGGGAAAAUGGUUAAUAUUCCAUUACUUCUGUGUAAUGCGAUGAGAGGACGGAGAAGGCUAAAUCAGCCUGGCGUUGGUUGUCCAGGUGAAAGGAUGUAGGCAUGUAUCUUAGGCAAAUCCGGGGUACUCUAUGCUGAGAUCUGAUAGCAAGCUGUACUUGUACAGCGAAGUGGUUGAUGCCAUGCUUCCAGGAAAAGUCUCUAAGCUUCAGUUACACAGGAAUCGUACCCGAAACCGACACAGGUGGUCAGGUCGAGUAGACCAAGGCGCUUGAGAGAACUCUGCUGAAGGAACUAGGCAAAAUGGUACCGUAACUUCGGGAGAAGGUACGCUGUUGUUGGUGAUGGAACUCGCUUCCUGAGCUGACGACAGCCGCAGAAACCAGGCCGCUGCAACUGUUUAUUAAAAACAUAGCACUCUGCAAACACGAAAGUGGACGUAUAGGGUGUGAUGCCUGCCCGGUGCUGGAAGGUUAAUUGAUGGGGUUAGCGUAAGCGAAGCUCUUGAUCGAAGCCCCAGUAAACGGCGGCCGUAACUAUAACGGUCCUAAGGUAGCGAAAUUCCUUGUCGGGUAAGUUCCGACCUGCACGAAUGGCAUAAUGAUGGCGGCGCUGUCUCCAGCAGAGGCUCAGUGAAAUCGAAAUCGCUGUGAAGAUGCAGUGUACCCGCGGCUAGACGGAAAGACCCCGUGAACCUUUACUGCAGCUUGACACUGAACUUUGACCUUACUUGUGUAGGAUAGGUGGGAGGCUUUGAAGCUGGAACGCUAGUUCCAGUGGAGCCGUCCUUGAAAUACCACCCUGGUAAUGUUGAGGUUCUAACUCUGUCCCGUGAUCCGGGACGAGGACCGUGUCUGGUGGGUAGUUUGACUGGGGCGGUCUCCUCCUAAAGAGUAACGGAGGAGUACGAAGGUGCGCUCAGCGUGGUCGGAAAUCACGCGUAGAGUAUAAAGGCAAAAGCGCGCUUAACUGCGAGACCCACAAGUCGAGCAGGUACGAAAGUAGGUCUUAGUGAUCCGGUGGUUCUGUAUGGAAGGGCCAUCGCUCAACGGAUAAAAGGUACUCUGGGGAUAACAGGCUGAUACCGCCCAAGAGUUCAUAUCGACGGCGGUGUUUGGCACCUCGAUGUCGGCUCAUCUCAUCCUGGGGCUGAAGCAGGUCCCAAGGGUAUGGCUGUUCGCCAUUUAAAGAGGUACGCGAGCUGGGUUUAGAACGUCGUGAGACAGUUCGGUCCCUAUCUACCGUGGGCGCUGGAAAUUUGAGAGGAUCUGCUCCUAGUACGAGAGGACCAGAGUGGACGAACCUCUGGUGUACCGGUUGUGACGCCAGUCGCAUCGCCGGGUAGCUAUGUUCGGAAGGGAUAACCGCUGAAAGCAUCUAAGCGGGAAGCCUACCUCAAGAUAAGAUUUCCCUAGGACUUUAUGUCCUCUAAAGAGCCGUUCGAGACUAGGACGUUGAUAGGUUGGAUGUGGAAGCAUAGUGAUAUGUGAAGCUGACCAAUACUAAUUGCUCGUGAGGCUUGACUAUACAACACCCA